GCAAAACGCGAAGAACCUUACCCAGGCUUGACAUCCCACUAAGGAUCCCGAAAGGGAACUGUGUCUUCGGACCGUGGUGACAGGUGUUGCAUGGCCGUCGUCAGCUCGUGUCGUGAGAUGUUUGGUUAAGUCCAUCAACGAGCGCAACCCUUAUAGUUAGUUGUAUUUCUCUAGCUAGACUGCCCUGGCAACAGGGAGGAAGGAGGGGAUGAUGUCAGGUCAGUAUUACCCUUACGCCUGGGGCUACAAACACGCUACAAUGGCCGGUACAAAGGGCAGCCAACCCGCGAGGGGGAGCAAAUCCCAUCAAAGCCGGUCUCAGUUCGGAUUGCAGGCUGAAACUCGCCUGCAUGAAGCUGGAAUCGCUAGUAAUGGUAGGUCAGCACACUACCGUGAAUACGUUCCCGGGUCUUGUACACACCG
RNAcentral lists this ribosomal RNA (423 nucleotides) under uncultured bacterium. RNAcentral's name for it is "bacterial SSU rRNA". It matches the Rfam family "Bacterial small subunit ribosomal RNA", at positions 954 to 1392 of the family's 1533-position model. The record is from RNAcentral.